Molecule: ribosomal RNA, 115 nt
Organism: Otolemur garnettii (small-eared galago)
Lineage: Eukaryota; Metazoa; Chordata; Mammalia; Primates; Galagidae
Source: Ensembl
GUCUGUGGCCUUACCACUCUGAAUAUAAUCUCAUCUGAUCUCGGAAGCUAAGCAGGGUUGAGCCUGGUUAUUACUUGGAUGGGAGAUUGCCUAGGAAUAACAGGUGCUAUAGGCU